This 1045-nucleotide long non-coding RNA is filed under the name Monodelphis domestica (gray short-tailed opossum). RNAcentral's name for it is "lncRNA (ENSMODG00000038020.1)". The record is from RNAcentral. Lineage: Eukaryota; Metazoa; Chordata; Mammalia; Didelphimorphia; Didelphidae.
UUGCCUGGCCCUUAUUUCUCUUCUGCCUCGGAAUCAAUACCUGGUAUCAAUUCUAAGACAGAAGGAAGGAAGGAAGGAAGGAAGGAAGUAAGGAAGGAGGAAGUGAGGAAGGAGGAAGGGAGGAAGGGAGGAAGGGAGAAGGGAGAGAGGAAGAAGGGAGGAAGGAAGGGAGGAAGGGAGGGAGGAAGGAAGUUCAGUUCUAUGCUAAACUCUGAGUUUGAUAAUAGUGGUAUGGAGAUGAUGAAAAGGAAAACAGCAUUGGGUUCAUGCCCUUGGGCAUCUUCUAGUUUAGGGAGGAAGAUUACUAAAGACUCCUUUGGUAGGAUGGUAUAGACAAAAACGGAGGUGAAGUGAGGUGUCCUUAGUAUUUUAAUUCUUUUGAGGGAGAGACAACAAAGACAGAUACCUACUGAGAUAAGGAGAGGGAGGAGGGAAGAGUGAGAAAGACAAAGAGACAGAGAAAAGGAGGGGGAAAAGGGAGUAUGAUGAAGAGAAAGAGGGAGAGGGAAUGGUAGAGGAAGAUGAAUACAGAGAAGCAAAGGGAGAAAGAAUGAGGAAGGUGAAGAGAGACAGAGAUGGAGAAAAGGGGAGGGAGGGAGAAAGAACAAAUAAGAGACAGAAAGACAGCUGAAUAAUUUCUCAGAGAGAGGGUACUAACAUUCUUAUAGUUCUCACUCAAUCAUUUGUGACUCUUCAUGAUCCUAUUUGGAGUUUUCUGGGCAAAGAUACUGACAUGAUUGGCCAUAUCCUGAGGCAAACAGGGUUAAGAGAUUUGCACUAGGAUAGAAGAGUAACUGUCUGAGGCGGGAUUUGAACUCAGGAAGAUGAGUUUUCCUGAUUCCUGGUUCAGUGCUCUUUCCACUGAGCCACCUAGCUACACUACUAAGGUUCUCAGCAAAAUCUUAGUUCCCUGUAUUAGGAAAAAGUAAGUUCAAAUCAUGCUUCAGAAACAUUUUGGUUGUGUCACCCAGAUCAUCACCUAAUCUCUCAACCUCAAUUUCUUUGUUGUAAAGUAGGAAUAAAAAGACUGUCAUAAUUUAUCUCA